CGCGUAGGCGGCUCCUCAAGUCGGGGGUGAAAUCCUCUCGCUUAACGAGAGAAUUGCCUCCGAUACUGGGGAGCUGGAGGGGGAUAGGGGUGCGCGGAGCUUCCGGUGGAGCGGUGAAAUGCGUAGAUAUCGGAAGGAACGCCGGUGGCGAAAGCGGCGCACUGGAUCCCCACUGACGCUGAGGCGCGAAAGCCAGGGGAGCAAACGG
This 208-nucleotide ribosomal RNA is filed under the name uncultured bacterium. RNAcentral's name for it is "partial 16S ribosomal RNA". It matches the Rfam family "Bacterial small subunit ribosomal RNA", at positions 568 to 775 of the family's 1533-position model. The record is from RNAcentral.